This 253-nucleotide ribosomal RNA is filed under the name uncultured bacterium. RNAcentral describes it as "partial 16S ribosomal RNA". It matches the Rfam family "Bacterial small subunit ribosomal RNA", at positions 524 to 776 of the family's 1533-position model. The record is from RNAcentral.
AACGGAGGGCGCGAGCGUUACCCGGAUUUACUGGGCGUAAAGGGCGUGUAGGCGGCUUGGGGCGUCCCAUGUGAAAGGCCACGGCUCAACUGUGGAGGAGUGUGGGAUACGCUCAGGCUAGACGGUGGGAGAGGGUGGUGGAAUUCCCGGAGUAGCGGUGAAAUGCGCAGAUACCGGGAGGAACGCCGAUGGCGAAGGCAGCCACCUGGUCCACAUGUGACGCUGAGGCGUGAAAGCGUGGGGAGCAAACCGG